UGGAUCACCUCCUAACAGGGAGACAACAAAAUGUUUAAUAUUAUUAUUUUGUCACCUUAGGUCGAUCGGUAUCUCACGUUUUUAAUUUAUUAAGAAUUUCAUUUCCUAAGUUUUUCUAGGUCACACCCAUUAUUUUUCCUGGGCCAUUAGCUCAGGUGGUUAGAGCGCACCCCUGAUAAGGGUGAGGUCCCUGGUUCAAGUCCAGGAUGGCCCAUAUCUCUAUGUUGGGGGUAUAGCUCAGUUGGUAGAGCGCCUGCUUUGCAAGCAGGAUGUCAGCGGUUCGAGUCCGCUUACCUCCACUGAUUACCACCUCUUCCAUAACCGGUAGAAAGGAAAUGUUUUGAGUUGUGAUCAAAUUCUGAAAGAAUCUAGCUUCCUAAUGAAAUCAUUAAGAUGCUGGACUCAUUGAAUUAAUUUCAUUGUUUUCAGAGAACCUUGACAACUGCAUAGAUUAUUUUUAAAGACAAUAAGCAUCUUUAAUGAUGCAGACUUAUUAUUUGUGCGAAUGCAUUAAUAACAAUUCUAUUAAGCUGAUGCUUCAAUUUUUGAAGUUAUUGGUCAAGCUACAAAGGGCUCACGGAGGAUACCUAGGCACACAGAGGCGAUGAAGG
RNAcentral lists this transfer RNA (611 nucleotides) under uncultured Prochlorococcus sp. RNAcentral describes it as "partial contains 16S ribosomal RNA, 16S-23S ribosomal RNA intergenic spacer, and 23S ribosomal RNA". The stretch from base 227 to 299 matches the Rfam family "tRNA". Lineage: Bacteria; Bacillati; Cyanobacteriota; Cyanophyceae; Synechococcales; Prochlorococcaceae. The record is from RNAcentral.